GGCCUGGUGUAAUCACAAAGGUCCUUAUAAGAAGGGGCAGGAGAUCAGAGUAGAAGAAAGCAAUGUGACAACAGAAGCAAAGAUAGGAGUGGUAUGGCCAGCAGACAAAGAAUGCUGGCAGACAACAGAAGCUGGAGGAGGCAAAGAACAAAUUUUCUUAUGAAAGGAAAGAAACCAGCCCUGCUGCUAACAUCUUGAUUUUAGUUUCAUUUCAAACUUAUUAUCUCCAGAACUGUAAAAGAAUACAUUUGUUUUAAAUUACUCUGUUUGUCAAAAUUUGUUACAACGACAAUGGAGAACUAAUACACAUGGAGUCAAGAAGAAAAUCAAAGGGGUAAAUAUUUAAUGAGAUUAGCCUAAGAUAGUUUCAUUCAUCUACAUAAUAAUAAGGAUGAAUAAUUAGUCCCUUGGGUAGAACUUCAUAAGGCAUGGAUGUGCCUUGCUUUCAUGCAACUUUGUGAAGUCCUUUUAAAUGUUAUUGGCUGGCCUAUUCAUUUAUCAUUGUUACCAUCUUACUUUGGUUAUCUAUUAUAUUCAUCUAGGUCUCAGGUAAGUUGUGCUUUUAUGAGACCAAUUCUAUCUUGUAGGUUUGAUUUUUGCAUAAUUUUCCUUUGAUCCAUUCUCUCUUGAUUUAAAAUUUCACUCUCAAAGGUCACAAUAAUUCCCAUUAUUUCCAAAUGAUUCAAUAGACCUCCUUCUGGACUCCAAACACUAAGGCUACUUGUCAAGAAAAAUGUUUAUAUUCAAACAAAUGAAUCAUUUCUUGAAUUGUAAAGUUUCUUCUUCACCAUGUAAGAUAGAUAUCUUGGUACCCAAUAGCUGUCUAGGUAAUAUUUAUAUAGAUAAGGCAGCAGUAAAUGCUUAUUUGGAUAAAUCUAUGGAUACCCUCCCCUCUUACUUUUUGCUGUUAUAUAAGGUAAUACAUUUCACAAUAAAGAAAAAACUAAAAUUUCUUAAUAUUCCUUAGUUUUGCCUUUAAAAUCAAUUAAUUACUGGAGAUCUCUUUUUGUUUUGAUUUUUAAAUUUUGUGGCAAUUUAACAAAUAUUGUAUAUAUUUAAGGUGUACAACUUGAUAUUUUGAUGUGCAUUGUGAAAUGAUUACCACAGUCCAGCUAAUUAACAUAUCUAUUACCUCUACAUAGUUACCAUUUUAUAUCUGUACAUGGAGAGAAAUUAGAGCAAAAAUCUUUAAUAUAUAAUGUCAUGUAUUUCAAUUCACUAGUAAUACUCAAUUCUAUAACCCUCCAUUGUUGCACAAUAGAGUAUAAAAAAUUAAGAAACACAAAUUUCCAAGAAAAUUUAUAAGAAUAGCUGACAAAAUAAUCAAUGCCAAAGCUCUAUAAUGUAUAUUCAUAUAUGAGUGUGCAUUAACAAUAAAAAUCACUCUAUUAAUUUUAAUGUUAAAAUUCUUAUAUUUUAUUGUACAUUUUCUGAGGUAUAAUUGUGUUCUAUUCAAAAUAGCAUUUUAA
Homo sapiens (human) is the source of this 1469-nucleotide long non-coding RNA. The record is from Ensembl. Lineage: Eukaryota; Metazoa; Chordata; Mammalia; Primates; Hominidae.